GGAAAAGGGUCAAAAAUACCCCUCAACUUUGUUUUAUUAGUUGACUUUACCCUCGCCGUUAAAAUGAAGUUAAUUUUACCCCUCCCAUUACUAAUUUCACCAAAUUUAUCCCUCAAUUGGAUGAAAAACCCAAAUCAACUAAAAUUAUCCAAUUUCAAUUAAAUAACCCAAUUUUUUCUCUUUUUAAUCCGAACCCGACCCAUUUAUACCAAAUUAAAACCCCAAAUCAAGCUCCGGCAAUCCCCAUUCAUUUUCUCCGUUUUCCGGCGAAACACCACCAAAACAACCUCCAAAUGACCACCUGAAACCACCACUCAAAACCCCCAAAAACCAGAAACGACAUCAAGCAGAAAACAUUAACAACACACCCAUUUUCCUCUACUUUCCGGUGACGACAACAAGACCUUUCUUCUCCAUUUCCGGCCAGUUCCAAGCUGGAACAACAUUAAGCAAACCACCCACCGUCGGAAUCAUUCAAACAGCCGUGAAACCGACCUGAAACAGCUCUCAAACACCACUCUCUCCACGCCAAAAUAACCACCCACCGUCGGAAUCAUUCAAACAGCCACGAAACCGACCUGAAAUAGCUCUCAAACACCACCCUCUCCAUGCCAAAAUUCAGUGGUAAAACCACACUUCAGCCCACCAGAACCCAGACCUCCAUCACCCAAGCUAAAACAACCAGCA
Molecule: long non-coding RNA, 687 nt
Filed under: Solanum tuberosum (potato)
Lineage: Eukaryota; Viridiplantae; Streptophyta; Magnoliopsida; Solanales; Solanaceae
Description: long non-coding RNA (STUB_LNC005438)
Source: RNAcentral